GGCUCUAUAGUGGAAAUUAAAGACGUUAAAUUGCAAAUUUAAAGAUGUGUAUAAGCACUGGGGCUUAG
RNAcentral lists this transfer RNA (68 nucleotides) under Umalia orientalis. Its description in RNAcentral is "tRNA-Cys". Lineage: Eukaryota; Metazoa; Arthropoda; Malacostraca; Decapoda; Raninidae. The record is from RNAcentral.